This 253-nucleotide ribosomal RNA is filed under the name uncultured bacterium. RNAcentral describes it as "partial 16S ribosomal RNA". It matches the Rfam family "Bacterial small subunit ribosomal RNA", at positions 524 to 776 of the family's 1533-position model. The record is from RNAcentral.
UACAGAGGUGGCAAGCGUUGUUCGGAAUUACUGGGCGUAAAGGGCGCGUAGGCGGUUCGUUAAGUCCUGUGUGAAAUCCCCCGGCUCAACUGGGGAACUGCACAGGAAACUGGCGGGCUUGAAUCCGGGAGAGGGAUGCGGAAUUCCAGGUGUAGCGGUGAAAUGCGUAGAUAUCUGGAGGAACACCGGUGGCGAAGGCGGCAUCCUGGACCGGCAUUGACGCUGAGGCGCGAAAGCCAGGGGAGCAAACGGG